AUGGAGGGCUUUUACGGUAUUGAGGUGACCGCCGGCAAGCAGGUGAAGGCCAAAAUCCCAGAGGAGUGCGCGCUGCGCGUGACGCAGCUCGCCGUUCCCGCCAACGCGGCUGGAGCCGUUUCUCUCGUCGUGUCCUUCGAGGGCAAGCUGUUCACGAUUGCCACGCUGGACCCCAAGAAGGGCGUCUACCAGAUGAGCACCGACCUCGUCUUCACCGAGGCGCAGGACGUCUCCUUCUCCGCCCAGGGUGCUGGUGCAAUCCACGUCACUGGCUACGUACAGCCGGUCGGCAACGACGAUAUGAUGAUGAAUGCCAUGGCCGGCGAGUCGGGUGAGGAGGACGAGAGCGACGACGACGACCUCGAGGAGGCUUCAGAGCCGGAAAGCAACGAGGUCGCCAAGACCCCUGCUUCCGCUGCCGCUGGUGCGGAGGACAGCGACGAGGAGGAGGAGAACGAGGACGAAGACGACGAGGAGGACGAGGACGACGAGGAUAUGCCCCCGGCCGACCUCGAUGACAGCGACACGGGCGAAGAGGACGAGGAAGUCGACGAAGAGGAUGACGAUGAGGGACAGAUGGACCACGAGGAAGUCGAGGAUGAUGAGGAUGAUGACGAGGAUAACGAUGAUGACGAGGAUAACGAUGAUGACGAGGACAACGAUGAUGACGAGGAUAACGAUGAUGACGAGGAUAACGAUGAUGACGACGAGGACGACGUACCGCGGAAGUUCCAGCGUGCGGAGCGCGGUGACCACCGCGGUGGCUUCCGCGGCGGACGUGGCGGUGAUCGCGGUGGCUUCCGUGGUGGUCGUGGCGGUGAUCGCGGUGGCUUCCGUGGCGGUCGUGGCGGUGAUCGCGGUGGCUUCCGUGGUGGUCGUGGCGGUGAUCGCGGUGGCUUCCGUGGCGGUCGUGGCGGUGAUCGCGGUGGCUUCCGCGGCGGUCGCGGCGGUGAUCGCGGUGGCUUCCGUGGCGGUCGCGGUGGUGACCGUGGCGGCUUUCGCGGUGGCAAGCGUGGCCGCUACUAG
Molecule: ribosomal RNA, 1026 nt
Filed under: Leishmania infantum
Lineage: Eukaryota; Euglenozoa; Kinetoplastea; Trypanosomatida; Trypanosomatidae
Description: nucleolar_RNA-binding_protein_-_putative
Source: RNAcentral